UACGGGGGGGAGCAAGCGUUGUUCGGAUUUACUGGGCGUAAAGGGCGCGUAGGCGGCCACCGCAAGUCGACUGUGAAAAUCUCCGGGCUUAACCCCGGAAAGGUCAGCCGAUACUGCGGGGCUAGAGUGCAGAAGGGGCAACUGGAAUUCUCGGUGUAGCGGUGAAAUGCGUAGAUAUCGAGAGGAACACCUGCGGCGAAGGCGGGUUGCUGGGCUGACACUGACGCUGAGGCGCGAAAGCUAGGGGAGCGAACGGGG
This 258-nucleotide ribosomal RNA is filed under the name uncultured bacterium. Its description in RNAcentral is "partial 16S ribosomal RNA". It matches the Rfam family "Bacterial small subunit ribosomal RNA", at positions 524 to 777 of the family's 1533-position model. The record is from RNAcentral.